This is a non-coding RNA of Xylariaceae sp. FL0016, 89 nucleotides long. The record is from the annotation of a GenBank genome assembly. NCBI's taxonomy places the organism in Eukaryota, Fungi, Ascomycota, Sordariomycetes, Xylariales, Xylariaceae.
ACCAUUAUCGUCCAGUGGUUAGGAUGUCAGAUUUUCAUCUCAGGUAUUGAAACACUCUGAAGACCGGAGUUCGAACCUCCGUAAUGGUA